This 516-nucleotide ribosomal RNA is filed under the name Aeribacillus pallidus. RNAcentral describes it as "bacterial SSU rRNA". It matches the Rfam family "Bacterial small subunit ribosomal RNA", at positions 1022 to 1533 of the family's 1533-position model. The record is from RNAcentral. Lineage: Bacteria; Bacillati; Bacillota; Bacilli; Caryophanales; Bacillaceae.
GGGGACAGGGUGACAGGUGGUGCAUGGUUGUCGUCAGCUCGUGUCGUGAGAUGUUGGGUUAAGUCCCGCAACGAGCGCAACCCUUGACCUUAGUUGCCAGCAUUCAGUUGGGCACUCUAAGGUGACUGCCGGCUAAAAGUCGGAGGAAGGUGGGGAUGACGUCAAAUCAUCAUGCCCCUUAUGACCUGGGCUACACACGUGCUACAAUGGGUGGUACAAAGGGCAGCGAAACCGCGAGGUGGAGCGAAUCCCAAAAAACCACUCUCAGUUCGGAUUGCAGGCUGCAACUCGCCUGCAUGAAGCCGGAAUCGCUAGUAAUCGCGGAUCAGCAUGCCGCGGUGAAUACGUUCCCGGGUCUUGUACACACCGCCCGUCACACCACGAGAGUUUGUAACACCCGAAGUCGGUGGGGUAACCCUUACGGGAGCCAGCCGCCGAAGGUGGGACAAAUGAUUGGGGUGAAGUCGUAACAAGGUAGCCGUAUCGGAAGGUGCGGCUGGAUCACCUCCUUUCUAA